GAUGAAGAACGCAGUGAAAUGCGAUAAGUAAUGUGAAUUGCAGAAUUCAGUGAAUCAUCGAAUCUUUGAACGCACCUUGCGCCCUUUGGCUAUUCCGAAGGGCAUGCCUGUUUGAGUAUCAUGAACACCUCAACCCUCAUGGUUUGCCAUGAUGGGCUUGGACUUUGGGGGUCUUGCUGGAUUGUAGUCAGCUCCCCUUAAAUGAAUCAGCUUGCCAGUGUUUGGUGGCAUCACAGGUGUGAUAAAUAUCUACGCUUGUGGUUUUACAUCAGAUAACCUUCAGUGAUGGAGGUUCACUGGAGCUCAUAAAGGUGUCUCUCCUCUGUGAGGACAGCUCUUUGAAUGUUUGAUCUCAAAUCAGGCAGGACUACCCGCUGAACUUAAGCAUAUCAAUAAGCGGAGGA
This 404-nucleotide unclassified non-coding RNA is filed under the name soil metagenome. Its description in RNAcentral is "partial contains 5.8S ribosomal RNA, internal transcribed spacer 2, and large subunit ribosomal RNA". The stretch from base 1 to 121 matches the Rfam family "5.8S ribosomal RNA", at positions 35 to 154 of the family's 154-position model. The record is from RNAcentral.